AGCUUUAUAGUCAAUAAUGAUAUUAGACUGCAAUUCUAAAGGAAUAAAUAAAUUUAUUAAAGCUU
RNAcentral lists this transfer RNA (65 nucleotides) under Anopheles homunculus. RNAcentral describes it as "tRNA-Cys". The record is from RNAcentral. Lineage: Eukaryota; Metazoa; Arthropoda; Insecta; Diptera; Culicidae.